Molecule: transfer RNA, 73 nt
Filed under: Paramuricea clavata
Lineage: Eukaryota; Metazoa; Cnidaria; Anthozoa; Malacalcyonacea; Plexauridae
Rfam family: tRNA
About the family: Transfer RNA (tRNA) molecules are approximately 80 nucleotides in length. Their secondary structure includes four short double-helical elements and three loops (D, anti-codon, and T loops). Further hydrogen bonds mediate the characteristic L-shaped molecular structure. tRNAs have two regions of fundamental functional importance: the anti-codon, which is responsible for specific mRNA codon recognition, and the 3' end, to which the tRNAs corresponding amino acid is attached (by aminoacyl-tRNA synthetases). tRNAs cope with the degeneracy of the genetic code in two manners: having more than one tRNA (with a specific anti-codon) for a particular amino acid; and 'wobble' base-pairing, i.e. permitting non-standard base-pairing at the 3rd anti-codon position.
Source: Rfam by way of RNAcentral
GGCCUCGUAGCUCAGUUGGCAGAGCAUUGGACUAGUAUCCCAAAGGUCGCGGGUUCGAUUCCCACCGUGGCAG